This 338-nucleotide unclassified non-coding RNA is filed under the name soil metagenome. RNAcentral's name for it is "partial contains 5.8S ribosomal RNA, internal transcribed spacer 2, and large subunit ribosomal RNA". The stretch from base 1 to 120 matches the Rfam family "5.8S ribosomal RNA", at positions 35 to 154 of the family's 154-position model. The record is from RNAcentral.
GAUGAAGAACGCAGCGAAAUGCGAUAAGUAAUGCGAAUUGCAGAAUUCCGUGAGUCAUCGAAUCUUUGAACGCACAUUGCGCCCUUUGGCAUUCCGAAGGGCAUGCCUGUUCGAGCGUCAUUUAUCAACCCUCAAGCCCGGCUUGCGGUUGGGUCCCGCCGUGGGCGACCACGGCGGACCCGAAAGGUAAUGGCGGUGCCCGUGGGGCCCUGGACGCAGCGAGCUUCUCGGCACGCGUCCCGGCGGUCCCCGGCGCCGUCUCCACCAAUCCACCACGCAGAUUGACCUCGGAUCAGGUAGGGAUACCCGCUGAACUUAAGCAUAUCAAAAGCGGAGGA